RNAcentral lists this long non-coding RNA (779 nucleotides) under Oryzias javanicus (javanese ricefish). RNAcentral describes it as "lncRNA (ENSOJAG00000009287.1)". The record is from RNAcentral. Lineage: Eukaryota; Metazoa; Chordata; Actinopteri; Beloniformes; Adrianichthyidae.
CCCGAGAUGCUACUAAAUAAAGAGCAACACGAUGAGACAGGCGAGGCGGUGGUUGCAGUGCCUCUGACCCACUAGAAACUACUGGAAAUAUGCACACAUUGUUUGAUUGUUCUGUAUAUUUGUGUUAAGUGUGUGUGGUUUUUUUUUUGUGUGUGUGUCUACUCUGUUUUUAGAUCACUGGAUGAACUGGACAGCCAAGACGACAAUUAUCAAUAUUUAAACCAGCCAGUGUUGAGAUUCUUUAAGGAUCCUUAUCUCUCCACAUGCUUGCCAGGGCUCCCUGAUAUUGUUGCAGAAGGGGUUCUCCAGGGAUUUUACCCGCGGGACGUCCGGGUCAGUUUCACCGCCUCUGCUCUCGCCACACCUGAUCACAGCUCGUCUGUAGAAGCCUGAAGAAAAGCACAACCGAGCACACAAUACAGCACACAGACAGCUGACGUCAAAGAAACCUUUUGAAAGGAGAAGCUCAAUGGAACUACAGCUCAUCAGGAUACUGUUGCUGAAAUGGUUGUAUUUAUAGCAAGUUUCUAUCAAAUAUUUACUCAUUAGUGUUGAAUUUCCCUUUUAAAUUGUGGACAUUCCAAUAAAACUAUUGUGCAGCUAUUAUAAAAUGUUUUUUUAAUAACCAUUCCUGCAUUGUUUAUGAUAUAAAGAAGUAAUCUUUAAAGUCUUUGCUUUACCAUCAUGUUAAAACUGUACACAUUUUAUCAGUUUUUUGGUGAAAUGUUUUUGAAUUAAAAUUGCAAUAAAAGUUUUAAAUAAACAUUUGAGUAUUCUAU